GCCAUUUUAGUAUAAGGUGUAUGUUAGAGUUAGGUUUUGAAGGGUUGAAUUGGCU
Molecule: transfer RNA, 55 nt
Filed under: Aspiculuris sp. PC-2022
Lineage: Eukaryota; Metazoa; Nematoda; Chromadorea; Rhabditida; Heteroxynematidae
Description: tRNA-Leu
Source: RNAcentral